RNAcentral lists this ribosomal RNA (459 nucleotides) under uncultured bacterium. RNAcentral's name for it is "bacterial SSU rRNA". It matches the Rfam family "Bacterial small subunit ribosomal RNA", at positions 29 to 524 of the family's 1533-position model. The record is from RNAcentral.
AUCGAACGCUAGCGGCGGGCCUAACACAUGCAAGUCGAGCGCAUACCUUCGGGUAUGAGCGGCGGACGGGUGAGUAACGCGUAGGUCAUCUACCCUUUGGUGGGGGAUAACCCAGGGAAACUUGGGCUAAUACCGCACGAGGUCCACGGAUCAAAGCCUUCGGGCGCCAGAGGAUGAGCCUGCGUCGCAUUACCUAGUUGGUGGGGUAACGGCCCACCAAGGGGACGAUGCGUAGCUGGUCUGAGAGGAUGAUCAGCCACACUGGGACUGAGACACGGCCCAGACUCCUACGGGAGGCAGCAGUGGGGAAUAUUGCGCAAUGGGGGGAAACCCUGACGCAGCCACGCCGCGUGGGUGAUGAAGGCCUUCGGGUUGUAAAGCCCUGUCGGGAGGGACGAAUUCUUGACGGUACCUCCAAAGAAAGACACCGGCUAACUCCGUGCCAGCAGCCGCGGUAAU